AGCGAACGCUGGCGGCGUACUUAACACAUGCAAGUCGAACGGGGAUCGUCAGUGUAGCAAUACAUCGGCGGUUCUAGUGGCGCACGGGUGAGUAACACGUGGGUAACCUGCCCUUGAGUUCGGGAUACCCUUUCGAAAGGAAGGCUAAUACCGGAUACGUUCCUCGGAUUGCCAAAUCUGGGGAGGAAAGGUGGCGCAAGCUGCCGCUCUUGGAGGGGCUCGCGGCCUAUCAGCUAGUGGUGAGGUAACGGCUCACCAAGGCUAUGACGGGUAGCUGGUCUGAGAGGACGACCAGCCACACGGGAACUGAGACACGGUCCCGACUCCUACGGGAGGCAGCAGUGGGGAAUUUUCCGCAAUGGGCGAAAGCCUGACGGAGUGACGCCGCGUGGGGACGAAGGCC
RNAcentral lists this ribosomal RNA (403 nucleotides) under uncultured bacterium. RNAcentral's name for it is "bacterial SSU rRNA". It matches the Rfam family "Bacterial small subunit ribosomal RNA", at positions 29 to 416 of the family's 1533-position model. The record is from RNAcentral.